AGAGUUUGAUCCUGGCUCAGGACGAACGCUGGCGGCGCGCCUAACACAUGCAAGUCGAACGAGCGAGAGAGAGCUUGCUUUCUCAAGCGAGUGGCGAACGGGUGAGUAACGCGUGAGGAACCUGCCUCAAAGAGGGGGACAACAGUUGGGAACGACUGCUAAUACCGCAUAAGCCCACGGGUCGGCAUCGACCAGAGGGAAAAGGAGCAAUCCGCUUUGAGAUGGCCUCGCGUCCGAUUAGCUAGUUGGUGAGGUAAUGGCCCACCAAGGCGACGAUCGGUAGCCGGACUGAGAGGUUGAACGGCCACAUUGGGACUGAGACACGGCCCAGACUCCUACGGGAGGCAGCAGUGGGGAAUAUUGCACAAUGGGGGAAACCCUGAUGCAGCGACGCCGCGUGGAGGAAGAAGGUCUUCGGAUUGUAAACUCCUGUUGUUGAGGAAGAUAAUGACGGUACUCAACAAGGAAGUGACGGCUAACUACGUGCCAGCAGCCGCGGUAAAACGUAGGUCACAAGCGUUGUCCGGAAUUACUGGGUGUAAAGGGAGCGCAGGCGGGAAGACAAGUUGGAAGUGAAAUCUAUGGGCUCAACCCAUAAACUGCUUUCAAAACUGUUUUUCUUGAGUAGUGCAGAGGUAGGCGGAAUUCCCGGUGUAGCGGUGGAAUGCGUAGAUAUCGGGAGGAACACCAGUGGCGAAGGCGGCCUACUGGGCACCAACUGACGCUGAGGCUCGAAAGUGUGGGUAGCAAACAGGAUUAGAUACCCUGGUAGUCCACACCGUAAACGAUGAUUACUAGGUGUUGGAGGAUUGACCCCUUCAGUGCCGCAGUUAACACAAUAAGUAAUCCACCUGGGGAGUACGACCGCAAGGUUGAAACUCAAAGGAAUUGACGGGGGCCCGCACAAGCAGUGGAGUAUGUGGUUUAAUUCGACGCAACGCGAAGAACCUUACCAAGUCUUGACAUCCUCUGACGAACGUAGAAAUACGUUUUCUCUUCGGAGCAGAGAGACAGGUGGUGCAUGGUUGUCGUCAGCUCGUGUCGUGAGAUGUUGGGUUAAGUCCCGCAACGAGCGCAACCCUUAUGGUCAGUUACUACGCAAGAGGACUCUGGCCAGACUGCCGUUGACAAAACGGAGGAAGGUGGGGAUGACGUCAAAUCAUCAUGCCCUUUAUGACUUGGGCUACACACGUACUACAAUGGCGUUAAACAAAGAGAAGCAAGACCGCGAGGUGGAGCAAAACUCAGAAACAACGUCCCAGUUCGGACUGCAGGCUGCAACUCGCCUGCACGAAGUCGGAAUUGCUAGUAAUCGCAGAUCAGCAUGCUGCGGUGAAUACGUUCNCCGGGCACUUGUACACACCGCCCGUC
RNAcentral lists this ribosomal RNA (1371 nucleotides) under uncultured bacterium. RNAcentral's name for it is "bacterial SSU rRNA". It matches the Rfam family "Bacterial small subunit ribosomal RNA". The record is from RNAcentral.